AAAACUUUGAAGUUGGAAGCAUAUUCUUGUAAAAAUAGUCUCACAAUUAUGUCUUGAAUGAAGUGUUUAUUGGUUGGAGAUAAAUUAUAAACACUGUUUGGAGCAACAGAUCAGCUCCCAAGCUUAAUAAACAUUAACAAAAAGUAAAAGGCUACUAAAGAAGAUCGCCAUUGCUGCCAAAAGUCAAUGCCUCCCUGGGAUUGUUAAAUGCUUGUUUCUUCGUUCUUGGCGAUGACCCAUCUUUGUCCGAGCCCCCCUCGCCCCUAUCCCUGAACUCACAUGAAUUUCUGUUUUGUUCGUACAUACCCUGUCCAAAAGCAUAGAAUGGUAGUUAGAUCAACAUAGAAAUGAUGUAGCCAUUUGUUUUAUAUAAUAUGUAGUAACUUGGCAUUAUAACCAACAUGUUCAUUCAUGGCAUCACCACUAUCAUCCGAGAAUGGAUAAUAUUUUACAAUGUACAAGUCAAAUUUCUUGAUAAUAGUAUUGUGCCUGCUCAUCCUGCUGCGGUUAUAAAAUGGUUUUUGUUUAUAUGUCAAUGACAUAAUGGUAAAAUAAUAAUAAGUAAAUAAAAGAACAUACCUUCGUGUCUGUAUUAGCACGGUCCUGUAUCAUUCAAUUACCAGUAUUCAAAAGAAUGUGACCGAACUAAAUGUAAGAGUGCUUGCUGGUAGGUGAACUACAUAAUCCAAUUACUAACUCCCAUACUGCUACAUUCAACUACUAGCUGAGAAGAAAAGGUUGAUUACACUUCAGUUUUGUAAUCUAUGAUUUUGUUGCUUCCAAAUAAAAAUGUAAUAUCUGAAAAGAUUUAAUCUUUUCUUAUGAAGCAAGAGGCACCAGAAAUUUUAAGACAUAACAAUAAAAUAAUCCUAGUAGAUCAACUUCAGUACUGACCACUACUGCUACUGCUUCUGCAAUUCAAGCUAUCGAGAUAGUUCAAGCUAGCUUGUUGUGGAAUUUAGUUGGGCAUGACACUGCAAUGCAGAAAGUUCAGGUUGGUUGCAAUCCACGAUAGACAAACAGGUACAUGAUUACGACCUACAUGAUUUCCUUGACUUUUAACCACUUAUUUCCUUGGAGUCUCAACCAUUUCCUUUUGAUUUAGAUUAUUUUUUUGGAUAAUUCUGUGGUAAUUUCUUUUACAUUUUGAGUACAUGAACAGUAACUAAUAGUGAUUUUACUUCUUAUACUAACCAUCUUUAUGCUAGAUCUACAAUUGUGAAUUUAGUGAUAUAAACUCUACAAAAAUUAACAGUAACUAAUCGCCUACUAGUUACUGAUAAUUUUCAACACUUGUAAUAUUCCUCUUGUAUCUCCUGUUAUCUGGGCUACUCUUGUUAUGUAGUACACAUAUGUGGAGUUUCUAGUGCUGUAGAAUUAUUUUUGCCAUGGAAGCACAUCAGUGUCAUGAUUCAUGCCAUUCUGGUAUAAGAUGAACUAAAGCUUAUUCAACAACUCAGCAAAUGAAAAUAUUGCAUCCUACUUCUACAGAUUAUGUGUUCUGUUAUCAUAAUGAAACAAGACCUCAUUGAUGUGUUUAUACUUUCUACUCGAAGCUGCAGACCAUCCAGAGAAUAUGCUAAUUGAAGAACAAAGGGGAGAACUUGAAGCUUUUAUGCUAAUUUGAAGAGGGGGUUUACCUUAUUGUAGAUUGUUACAAAUUCUUCUCUG
Molecule: long non-coding RNA, 1671 nt
Filed under: Triticum aestivum (bread wheat)
Lineage: Eukaryota; Viridiplantae; Streptophyta; Magnoliopsida; Poales; Poaceae
Description: long non-coding RNA (TAES_LNC025853)
Source: RNAcentral